RNAcentral lists this ribosomal RNA (445 nucleotides) under uncultured bacterium. RNAcentral describes it as "partial 16S ribosomal RNA". It matches the Rfam family "Bacterial small subunit ribosomal RNA", at positions 338 to 795 of the family's 1533-position model. The record is from RNAcentral.
CCUACGGGCGGCAGCAGUAGGGAAUCUUCCACAAUGGGCGAAAGCCUGAUGGAGCAACGCCGCGUGGGUGAAGAAGGUCUUCGGAUUGUAAACCCCUGUCAUGUGGGAGCAAAUCAAAAAGAUAGUACCACAAGAGGAAGAGACGGCUAACUCUGUGCCAGCAGCCGCGGUAAUACAGAGGUCUCAAGCGUUGUUCGGAAUCACUGGGCGUAAAGCGUGCGUAGGCUGUUUCGUAAGUCGUGUGUGAAAGGCGCGGGCUCAACCCGCGGACGGCACAUGAUACUUCGAGACUAGAGUAAAGGAGGGGGAACCGGAAUUCUCGGUGUAGCAGUGAAAUGCGUAGAUAUCGAGAGGAACACUAGUGGCGAAGGCGGGUUCCUGGACAUUAACUGACGCUGAGGCACGAAGGCCAGGGGAGCGAAAGGGAUUAGAUACCCUGGUAGUC